NNAUCCCGUGAACCAUCGAGUCUUUUGAACGCAAGUUGCGCCCGAAGCCUUCGGGCCGAGGGCACGCCUGCCUGGGCGUCACGCAUCGCGUCGCCCCCCCCGCCCGCCCGCCCGCUCAGGGCGGGGCGCGGGGUGGGGCGGAGACNGNCCUCCCGUGCGCCCCCCGUCGNGCGGGCGGCCC
RNAcentral lists this ribosomal RNA (181 nucleotides) under Carlowrightia albiflora. Its description in RNAcentral is "5.8S ribosomal RNA". Lineage: Eukaryota; Viridiplantae; Streptophyta; Magnoliopsida; Lamiales; Acanthaceae. The record is from RNAcentral.